GGCUGGAUGGCCGAGUGGUCUAAGGCUCUAGAAUCAGGUUGUGUUCCUAUCUAGUCUUUCGAGGCGUGGGUUCGAAUCCCACUCCAGUCA
Non-coding RNA from Mycena rebaudengoi, 90 nucleotides. NCBI's taxonomy places the organism in Eukaryota, Fungi, Basidiomycota, Agaricomycetes, Agaricales, Mycenaceae. The record is from the annotation of a GenBank genome assembly.